This 540-nucleotide ribosomal RNA is filed under the name uncultured archaeon. RNAcentral describes it as "bacterial SSU rRNA". It matches the Rfam family "Bacterial small subunit ribosomal RNA", at positions 509 to 1050 of the family's 1533-position model. The record is from RNAcentral.
CAGCAGCCGCGGUAACACGUAGGGGGCGAGCGUUGUUCGGAAUUACUGGGCGUAAAGGGCAUGUAGGCGGCUUGGUAAGCCUGGCGUGAAAGUCUGCAGCUUAACUGUAGGGAUGCGUUGGGAACUGCUUAGCUUGAGUUACGGAGAGGGAGCUGGAAUUCCUGGUGUAGGGGUGAAAUCUGUAGAUAUCAGGAAGAACACCGAUGGCGAAGGCAAGCUUCUGGCCGACAACUGACGCUGAGGUGCGAAAGUGUGGGGAUCAAACAGGAUUAGAUACCCUGGUAGUCCACACAGUAAACGAUGUGCACGAGGUGCUGGGGCGGUAGUUUCAGUGCCGGAGCGAACGCGGUAAGUGCACCGCCUGGGGAGUAUGCUCGCAAGGGUGAAACUCAAAGGAAUUGACGGGGGCCCGCACAAGCGGUGGAGCAUGUGGUUUAAUUCGAUGGUACACGAGGAACCUUACCUGGGUUUGACAUACGGAGGGAAGUGGCAGAGAUGUCACUGCGUAGAGAUACGGCUCCGUACAGGAGGUGCAUGGCC